Molecule: long non-coding RNA, 1140 nt
Filed under: Macaca fascicularis (crab-eating macaque)
Lineage: Eukaryota; Metazoa; Chordata; Mammalia; Primates; Cercopithecidae
Description: lncRNA (ENSMFAG00000050450.1)
Source: RNAcentral
AUGGGGCAGAGCUGGAGGGGAAGAAUCGGGACCCACGGCGGAGGAAGGGGUCUGGGCACCGAGGCAAGUGUGCAGCAGGUGCCCAGCAGACCUAGGGAAACCGGGGCACUGGGCUGGGGAGCCGCACAGCCCCCUUUCGCCUUCUCGAUUCCUUUCCAACCCCUCGCUCUGGUCGAUCCCAGCCCUGGCCCCAGCUCCCUGACCUGUUCCCCGCCCUCCGCCCCGGUGGCUUCCAGCAGCAACAGUUGGGGUCCGCGGCAGCCCAGACUCCCCCGCUCCCGCCGUGCCGCCGCGCCAACGAAGGAGGAGGGGGGCUCGGCGACCCCGGGGACGAACGUCUUAGGCGCUGCACCCGCGUCCUUCUCUCACGUCCGCCGCGCGCCUGUCUCCUCGGCCUCUUCUUCACCUCCUCUCCGGCCGCCCGGGUCCAAACCCAAGGCCGGGUUCUCGAGGUCCGGGUCCUCCAGCCGCCCCCUCCUCGCGCCCCGAGAGUCCUGCGCGGGCCCGGCUCCCCCAGGUGUCCCGCCUCUGUCUCCGCCGUCCUUGCUCGCGCGCCGCGGGAACCCAGCCCCAAGUUGGCGGCGAAGUUGGCGCCCCCGCCCGCCGCCUGCCACUCACCAAGAGGAAGGGGCGCUGCGUCCGCGCCGAGAGCCCACGCCGGCCGCCUCCCUCGCGGUGUCUGUCCCAGAGCCUCGGCCCCGGAGGGCUGGCGCGCUGUCUCAGCUCCGCGGGCGCCGGAGCCAGGGCGCGGCAGGGCGGGGGAGGGUGGCGCGGCCUGGCCGGCUGGCCCCGACCCGCCCCCGCGCCCCGCGACCCUCCCGAGGCUCACACGGCGCCCGGCUCCAUCCCGGGCUGGUCUGCGCGCCGAGCCUCCUGCUCCCAGGGCUCGCAGCCGACUGUGCAGGAGCUUUCACCGCCGCCCGCGAGGGUCGCCCCGCCGGGGCCCGUCGCCUCCGCCCCGGCUCGGCCCGGCCAGCCGCCCCUCGAUGCCCCUCCCGCCGCAGGCCCGGGUCCCUCUCUCCUCUCCGGGACCGCGUCCCCAGACUCGACACUCGGGGCAAGUGCACCUCGGAGGAAACGCCAGCCUGCCUGGAACCUGGGUUUGAGCCCGCAGCUCACAAGUGUGUGACCUUGGGCUAA